Paramuricea clavata is the source of this 95-nucleotide non-coding RNA. NCBI's taxonomy places the organism in Eukaryota, Metazoa, Cnidaria, Anthozoa, Malacalcyonacea, Plexauridae. The record is from the annotation of a GenBank genome assembly.
AGAUGUACAAUAUGAGCGUGAAAGAAUGAUGGGAAUAAUCAUAGUUUUUAAUGUUUAUUAUGAUUAUUCCCAUCAUUUUUUCACGCUCAUAUUGU